UACGUAGGGUGCGAGCGUUGUCCGGAAUUACUGGGCGUAAAGAGCUCGUAGGUGGUUUGUCGCGUUGUCCGUGAAAACUCACAACUCAAUUGUGGGCGUGCGGGCGAUACGGGCAGACUGGAGUACUGCAGGGGAGACUGGAAUUCCUGGUGUAGCGGUGGAAUGCGCAGAUAUCAGGAGGAACACCGGUGGCGAAGGCGGGUCUCUGGGCAGUAACUGACGCUGAGGAGCGAAAGCGAGGGGAGCGAACAGG
Molecule: ribosomal RNA, 253 nt
Filed under: uncultured bacterium
Lineage: Bacteria
Description: partial 16S ribosomal RNA
Rfam family: Bacterial small subunit ribosomal RNA
Source: RNAcentral